CCUACGGUGGGCAGCAGUGGGGAAUAUUGCACAAUGGGCGAAACCCUGAUGCAGCGACGCCGCGUGAGUGAAUAAGUAAUUCGUUAUGUAAAGCUCUAUCAGCAGGGAAGAAAAUGACGGUACCUGAGUAAGAAGCCCCUGCUAACUACGUGCCAGCAGCCGCGGUAAAUCGUAGGGGGCAAGCGUUAUCCGGCUUGACUGGGUGUAAAGGGAGCGUAGACGGCAGUGCAAGGCUGGAGUGAAAGGCGGGGGCACAACCCCCGGACUGCUCUGGAAACUGUGCGGCUGGAGGGCAGGAGAGGUAAGUGGAAGUCCUAGUGUAGCGGUGAAAUGCGUAGAUAUUAGGAGGAACACCAGUGGCGAAGGCGGCUUACUGGACUAUAACUGACGUUGAGGCUCGAAAGCGUGGGGAGCAAACAGGAUUAGAUACCCCAGUAGUC
Molecule: ribosomal RNA, 440 nt
Filed under: uncultured bacterium
Lineage: Bacteria
Description: partial 16S ribosomal RNA
Rfam family: Bacterial small subunit ribosomal RNA
Source: RNAcentral